This 89-nucleotide non-coding RNA is filed under the name Thermomonospora curvata. RNAcentral describes it as "Glycine sequence". It matches the Rfam family "Glycine riboswitch aptamer", at positions 8 to 87 of the family's 94-position model. From Rfam's summary of the family: This family represents the bacterial glycine riboswitch. Glycine riboswitches usually consist of two metabolite-binding aptamers domains with similar structures in tandem. RNAcentral also lists the same sequence under 1 other name. The record is from RNAcentral. Lineage: Bacteria; Bacillati; Actinomycetota; Actinomycetes; Streptosporangiales; Thermomonosporaceae.
CCUCUGGAAAGAGGGGACGCACGUCCCCCGCCGAAGGUGAAAGCGUCCCGGGCCGUGGGGCGUGAAUCUCUCAGGCGCCGAGACAGAGG